RNAcentral lists this small nucleolar RNA (129 nucleotides) under Procavia capensis (Cape rock hyrax). RNAcentral describes it as "Small nucleolar RNA SNORA63 (ENSPCAG00000020451.1)". Lineage: Eukaryota; Metazoa; Chordata; Mammalia; Hyracoidea; Procaviidae. The record is from RNAcentral.
AGGCAGAACCUGCUCCAAGUACAGCUGUCAAGCAUCGCACUGCCUGUGCCUGCUGCUUAAACUAAUGCUGUUACCAGCUCAACCUUGUCUGCUGGGGCACUGUUGGCAGGGAUGGGUGGCGUCACACGU